AAGGGAAUCUUCCGCAAUGGACGCAAGUCUGACGGAGCAACGCCGCGUGAGUGAAGAAGGAUUUCGGUUCGUAAAACUCUGUUGUUAGAGAAGAACAGCGCAUAGAGUAACUGUUAUGCGUGUGACGGUAUCUAACCAGAAAGCCACGGCUAACUACGUGCCAGCAGCCGCGGUAAUACGUAGGUGGCAAGCGUUGUCCGGAUUUAUUGGGCGUAAAGCGAGCGCAGGCGGUCAAUUAAGUCUGAUGUGAAAGCCCCCGGCUCAACCGGGGAGGGUCAUUGGAAACUGGUUGACUUGAGUGCAGAAGAGGGGAGUGGAAUUCCAUGUGUAGCGGUAAGAUGCGUAGAUAUAUGGAGGAACACCAGUGGCGAAGGCGACUCUCUGGUCUGUAACUGACGCUGAGGUUCGAAAGCGUGGGUAGCAAACAGG
RNAcentral lists this ribosomal RNA (429 nucleotides) under Bacteroidota bacterium. RNAcentral's name for it is "Bacteroidetes bacterium partial 16S ribosomal RNA". It matches the Rfam family "Bacterial small subunit ribosomal RNA", at positions 355 to 776 of the family's 1533-position model. Lineage: Bacteria; Pseudomonadati; Bacteroidota. The record is from RNAcentral.